Molecule: ribosomal RNA, 5034 nt
Filed under: Triticum aestivum (bread wheat)
Lineage: Eukaryota; Viridiplantae; Streptophyta; Magnoliopsida; Poales; Poaceae
Description: partial small subunit ribosomal RNA
Source: RNAcentral
ACGUCUCUACACUACAUACGUGGAGUACCAUGUGUAUCCCAAAACUAAACGAAAGGAACUGACGUCUUCUACAAUAAUACUACUCGGUCCAGUACCAUGUGUCCGAUUGAUUUGUUCGAAGACAACAAAAUAACAACCAGCAAGGGCAGGUGACGACGGUUGUCAGUUAAAAGACGUCCCAAAAAUAAAGAAAGAGAAGGUAGCUUUCGAGGAAAAACGGUGACUAAUUAAUCAACUACGUACACUUCUAAAAGCUAUGAUCCUCUUGGUUCAAAUUUGUACACGUUAAGGUAGAUAGAUCGUAGUUACAGCCCACUCCAAUCUGAUGUUCUUUCUGAUCUAUAAUUCGAACAAGUAAGAUAGAUGUGGAAAACUUAGACUUCAGUGAUGACAACAUUUAUUACGAUGAACUCAUGGACCAACUAACCAAAACAAAUAACACCGUAACUCAUCGGAUGAUGUAAUCACCACAGUCGAUAUAAAACAUUCAAACAAUAGCUAAGUUAAAUCAAUAAACACACACACUAACUUUUUAUUACCAAAUGUAUACUUAACGAUGUCAAAAUAUAUUAUGAGAAACUAGACACGACGAUCCAGACGAUGACGCACGUACUGUUGUACUCCACAGCGUUAGCCACGCCAUACGACCACUAUCUACAAGAGCUAACACUACGGGUUCGGACAGACGGCGUUAACACACAAGCAAUGACGACUCCAAUCUUUUUCGUAUGUAGUUAAAAAGAGGACGUUAACAUACCAGCAAAGACGAAAUCAAAUCUUUUCGUAUUUUGACUCAAUAAAAACGGAAACCGUCUGUCAGUAGGAUGAAGCAUCAUUAGAACACGGAAAGCAUAAACGUAUGAUUAGUGCUCGGAAAGGAAGUAUUACGAUUUAAAACUUAACGAAACCGAGAUAUUAAACAAACUUGACUAGUAAAUUCUUAAAGUCUAUUCGCGUAGGUCUAGAAAACUGGGAAGGUGCUUUUCCACAUUGUACCAUUUAAACAGCGUUGUUCGUCGUACCGUAAGAACUAUCGAAAAGAGGGAUAAUACUGAACGUAGAAAGAUGGGACGGGGUUUAAUUUAAACUAACCCUGACAAACUAACUUACAGUUUAUUUCUAGUUGAAAUAGAGACUAGCUAAGUACCUUUAUCUUCGACUUAUUAUAAGACUAAUAAUGAACGUACGAUAUAAGUGACAAGAACCAAAUUGUUGAACGUUCACAAAGAAAAUUAGGCGUCUUUUUCCUGAGUGCCCACCUGUAGACGAUAUUUAAUGGAUCCGGACCAGUAGACGCACUCAACGUAGACAGUAAAAAGAAGGUUCCAUCUUGUAAUCAAAAUUAAUUUGUUCAUCACAAGAGGUGUCAAACUACCCUUGUGAAACUGAAAGACAUUGGGGAUCUAAACCAUAAAGGACUACUAACGAACGCCAAGAAGAAUGAAAGACCAUAUUUAUCUCUUUUUACUCCUAUAACAUUAAUAAAAUCUUACAAGUUCUAAAUCCACAGGUAUGACACGAUUGAUACCAGACUUAACAAAACCCCUUAGUACUACAGUACAGCACUAAUGUGUUAAGGUUCGACACCAAGUCUUCGUGUGAAGCGAUUUUAUGUACGUUAGCAAAAAAACCCAAAAGAAGAGUGUUAUAUAUAUGCAUUUAGUACAUUAAACGUUGGAACCAUUCACGUGGAGCUCGACCGACUUUGUACGGACAAGGUUAGUACUUGCCUGUACUUCCGUCGGCCACCCUAAAUGAUAACGCAGAGCUGGAUGAGCCUCGUCCUCUCCGGUCCGACACCUUCCCCUCGGAACCGCGUCACCAUUUCGACGACGGAACACUGGUACUCCAGUGCCCAAGUUCAGGACCUUUGUCGGAGAACGUCUUUACAUUCCUUUCCGACGCAUGUUAUCUGGGUUUCACCAGCCUGGGAAGGGGUCUGGGACGCGUUCGCCCUCGAUGUACGUGACCCCGACGGGAAAAAUCCUCUCCGGUCCGACACCGUCGGCGCCAGCACCGCAGCACGUGCACCGUAGCUGCGUCCACUCUUAUGUAGAUACCAUCAGAGCACCCGGCUCGCAGUUCCACUACCAUCGGCUGGGAGGUGCGGGGGAGAUCCCUACCCUUCACCGCCCGUCUCAUGGAGGGGGCGCGUACAGUCCAACGACUAGGUGGGGAUUAAGGUAAUAUGUGACGAUGUAGAAUAGACAGUAGAUGAGUGUUGUAACGUUCUACACCGUACAGGAUUCUGCUACUCUAAUGUUUCUAACUCCACUGUCUUAGAUCGACACAGUACCCGUUCGGCCAACCGUGGUAACACUGUACUGUAGUCAACACACGCAAUUUUAGUGCUUGCUGCCGCGAACGAAAGUAUUGGAUUAUAUGAAGAGGGUGUACCUUUAAUAUAUUCAUACCAACAAAUAUUGACAUACGUGACCUGUACACAAGAGAGAGUCAUUACACGUACAAACGAGGUAAUGAGUAAAUGGGUAAGACCAUUAAAAAAGAGACUCAAAAAUCAGGUGUUUGGUUACAAAUCAGAGACCUUCUUUCAGUUCCAUAAUACUGCACACACACACAGAUAUAUAUUUGUUUCUCUAUAUAUACAGAGUAUAGGAUAUCUAAAACCAGACGGAAAAAGAAACGAAUGCCUCUACGUGGACUAAUCAAACAAAGUGGACAAACUAUUUAUCAUAAAAAGUGUUAUAUUAAAAUAAAGUGCCACAGAUGAGUUGCUUAACGAACACUCACACACAAAAGUGUUUACCACGUCUUAUUUGAGGGUUGAUUUAGCAACCUAUACAUAUAUUAAACGUCUCAACGUUUGUGAAAGUUAAAGUUGACACACCACUAGUCCUGUAAGACACAACGAACCUGUUGGCUCGAUUCUGCCGCUACGGUGGUGGAUGAACAUAGACAUGUCCUGGAGGCCACUAAUAAAGAUACUCAAGGAUUUAUAUAUAGGAGACGAGAAGUUUACCAUCACAAACUCCAAAAGUAAAGAGGGGGAAGAUCAAGACGACUCGUGGAAGUUAAGGGGAAAGGGGUCGAGCUUCCUUAACCGCGGAGGCAAUCACUGGGGCUCAUCACUACGUUACUACAUAACAAACUAGAAGAGGUUUCUAAAAGUUUAUCAAUAUGAAACUAAGUCUCGAGCAACACAAAAUGACAUAUACGUCAAACAAGAAUACUUAAAGAGGCUCAUCCAUCUAGGAAAUCCCAAUGAUUGAAUGACACUUGUUUACAAAACAGAACAAGCACAUCAAAGGUUUUUACUUCUUCGAACAGCAAGUUGGCUACUGUUUUGUGGAUCUCAUGCACGUUUUUAAUGAUGAAGGAGUAAAUGUCGUUUGAGUAACUAUGCUAUUUCCGUUUUAAAACCCACCGUUCCAUAUACUAAUCUAGUACACAUUAGAAGAUCUACGUAAAAAGAUAAGAAGGUAACACAAGAAAUCUGUACGGAGAAAAACAAUAAAAUGUAGUCAAUUGACUUCAAGUAUAAUAAGGAAAUAGACUAACAUCGAAGUUUCAAACUAAUGUCGUCUCAGUAACUAUGUUGUAUGUGUCAAACACUUAAAUGGAUGAUGAUGCUCAAUGCAGUAUAUCGUUACAAAAGAACGGAUCUUUUUAUAAUGUACUUUCCGGAUUACAGAACACUUACACAUAUCAUCGAUGCUCAUCCACCAGUUUGACAUGUGGAAAUUUCGUACUUAUUCCACGAUCGAAUACACGACGUCAACGAAACGUAACAAGUCUACGUUACACAAAAGCGAGUCGCCCUCGUGAAGAAGACUAAUAAAUAUUAAAAAUCAAACGAAGAAUAUUAAAAUUCUGUUAAAAACGCUGAACCUUACAUAUCGUAGGGGGAAAAGAGUGACCUUUACUGUACAUUCUUGUUUGGUCAAGGUCAAGACCGUAUCAAGACUACCAACUUCACAUACAGAUAUACUAAAUCAUAUACGUACCCUCAUGGGCGAUUUGCUACUUCGUAUAACACAGCACAAUCGAGGUAGAUCGAAAUAAUAGAACUUAAGACAUAGAUCUAAAACAUACAACAUAAGGGAAAGUGGCGCAGAUGUAUGAACUACUUCUAAAAAAGACUAACGUUUCAUACACGUUCAGUCAUCACUUGUGAGAUAUAGCAACAAGGUCUUUUCGUUCUAAGUCGUUAAAGGCGUUGUAAAGUACAGGCAAGGUACAUCAUCAAAAACGCCUUAAUAUAACUACUAAAGGAAAAUGGAAGUAUAAACGAAUCAAAAGAAUCGUUUGUGUUUUUCGAAACGCAGAACUUCGUAACUAUCUUCGCUUGUAUUAAGUACUAUGUUCGGAUUAUGAGACUUUUAUAAAAAUGCCAAGUGAUAAGGAUACUCCCCUCACUCACCUCUGUCGGUACUCACCGAGUUGUACAGCACGUCGCCGGCGGAUACUCCCCUCACUCACCUCUGCGCGUUUAUACACACCACCUCCCCGUUGCCUUCGAACUUGCCUUCUAAGCAGCGGUUGUAGCUUCUUUAGAUACCGGACUAGCUGGGAUUUCGAGGACGUACCUGUACUUCCACUGGCCCCCGUCUAACGGCUGUAAACGGUGUGAUACCCGUUAGAUACACUACUAGACGAGAGGCGUUAGCUUCGGUCCUUACUCGCCGUUCUAGAGAAGCCCUUACCGACUACUCCUUCUUAACUGACGCCCCCUUACCACCUAGAUCCACCUCAAGUGAAAUCGGUCACUCCCUGCUCGAAAUCAACACAUCCCCUUCCCUUCGGUGUACGUACUCAGUCUGUAUUAUUUAGCCGAGCUUUUACUGAGACAAUCAGGUCUUAGAGCAGAACCUGCUGGGUAUACCACGAGACUGUAAGCUAGGCCACACUUUCACGGAGUGUAUCAGUACAAAGUACCUGAAGUCUACACCCGGUAUAAGUGACAAAUUUUCUUCGUAUGUAUCUAAUAAUCACCGGAUACACACAACCCGACAUUUAGGGCCCCGUUGAACUACCCUCCCUAUUGCUCGUGGGUACACGAGGUUGUCUAUUAUC